This is a non-coding RNA of Potamilus streckersoni, 77 nucleotides long. NCBI's taxonomy places the organism in Eukaryota, Metazoa, Mollusca, Bivalvia, Unionida, Unionidae. The record is from the annotation of a GenBank genome assembly.
GACCGCUUCGGUGGCCUAGUAGGUUGAGUGUCCUCCUCGGAUGGGAGAGGUCGUGGGUUCAAACCCCGGAUGAGUCA